UCCAAUGGGAUGUGGAAGAGUGUGGU
This 26-nucleotide non-coding RNA is filed under the name Rattus norvegicus (Norway rat). The record is from RNAcentral. Lineage: Eukaryota; Metazoa; Chordata; Mammalia; Rodentia; Muridae.